GAUGAACGCUGGCGGCGUGCCUAAUACAUGCAAGUCGAGCGAACGGACGAGAAGCUUGCUUCUCUGAUGUUAGCGGCGGACGGGUGAGUAACACGUGGAUAACCUACCUAUAAGACUGGGAUAACUUCGGGAAACCGGAGCUAAUACCGGAUAAUAUUUUGAACCGCAUGGUUCAAAAGUGAAAGACGGUCUUGCUGUCACUUAUAGAUGGAUCCGCGCUGCAUUAGCUAGUUGGUAAGGUAACGGCUUACCAAGGCAACGAUGCAUAGCCGACCUGAGAGGGUGAUCGGCCACACUGGAACUGAGACACGGUCCAGACUCCUACGGGAGGCAGCAGUAGGGAAUCUUCCGCAAUGGGCGAAAGCCUGACGGAGCAACGCCGCGUGAGUGAUGAAGGUCUUCGGAUCGUAAAACUCUGUUAUUAGGGAAGAACAUAUGUGUAAGUAACUGUGCACAUCUUGACGGUACCUAAUCAGAAAGCCACGGCUAACUACGUGCCAGCAGCCGCGGUAAUACGUAGGUGGCAAGCGUUAUCCGGAAUUAUUGGGCGUAAAGCGCGCGUAGGCGGUUUUUUAGUCUGAUGUGAAAGCCCACGGCUCAACCGUGGAGGGUCAUUGGAAACUGGAAAACUUGAGUGCAGAAGAGGAAAGUGGAAUUCCAUGUGUAGCGGUGAAAUGCGCAGAGAUAUGGAGGAACACCAGUGGCGAAGGCGACUUUCUGGUCUGUAACUGACGCUGAUGUGCGAAAGCGUGGGGAUCAAACAGGAUUAGAUACCCUGGUAGUCCACGCCGUAAACGAUGAGUACUAAGUGUUAGGGGGUUUCCGCCCCUUAGUGCUGCAGCUAACGCAUUAAGCACUCCGCCUGGGGAGUACGACCGCAAGGUUGAAACUCAAAGGAAUUGACGGGGACCCGCACAAGCGGUGGAGCAUGUGGUUUAAUUCGAAGCAACGCGAAGAACCUUACCAAAUCUUGACAUCCUUUGACAACUCUAGAGAUAGAGCCUUCCCCUUCGGGGGACAAAGUGACAGGUGGUGCAUGGUUGUCGUCAGCUCGUGUCGUGAGAUGUUGGGUUAAGUCCCGCAACGAGCGCAACCCUUAAGCUUAGUUGCCAUCAUUAAGUUGGGCACUCUAAGUUGACUGCCGGUGACAAACCGGAGGAAGGUGGGGAUGACGUCAAAUCAUCAUGCCCCUUAUGAUUUGGGCUACACACGUGCUACAAUGGACAAUACAAAGGGCAGCGAAACCGCGAGGUCAAGCAAAUCCCAUAAAGUUGUUCUCAGUUCGGAUUGUAGUCUGCAACUCGACUACAUGAAGCUGGAAUCGCUAGUAAUCGUAGAUCAGCAUGCUACGGUGAAUACGUUCCCGGGUCU
RNAcentral lists this ribosomal RNA (1371 nucleotides) under uncultured bacterium. RNAcentral describes it as "bacterial SSU rRNA". It matches the Rfam family "Bacterial small subunit ribosomal RNA", at positions 28 to 1381 of the family's 1533-position model. The record is from RNAcentral.